Molecule: ribosomal RNA, 650 nt
Filed under: uncultured marine bacterium
Lineage: Bacteria
Description: bacterial SSU rRNA
Rfam family: Bacterial small subunit ribosomal RNA
Source: RNAcentral
AGAAGCUUGCUUCUCGCUGACGAGCGGCGGACGGGUGAGUAAUGCGUAGGAAUCUACCCUUUUGUGGGGGAUAGCCCGGAGAAAUCCGGAUUAAUACCGCAUAAGCUCUUCGGAGGAAAGUGGGGGAUCUUCGGACCUCACGCUGAAGGAUGAGCCUACGUUGGAUUAGCUUGUUGGUGGGGUAAAGGCCUACCAAGGCGACGAUCCAUAGCUGGUCUGAGAGGAUGAUCAGCCACACCGGGACUGAGACACGGCCCGGACUCCUACGGGAGGCAGCAGUGGGGAAUAUUGGACAAUGGGCGCAAGCCUGAUCCAGCCAUGCCGCGUGUGUGAAGAAGGCUCUAGGGUUGUAAAGCACUUUAAGCAGGGAAGAAACGCUGUUGGUUAAUAACCAUCAGUACUGACGGUACCUGCAGAAUAAGCACCGGCUAACUCCGUGCCAGCAGCCGCGGUAAUACGGAGGGUGCAAGCGUUAAUCGGAUUUACUGGGCGUAAAGCGUGCGUAGGCGGCUACGUAAGUCAGUUGUGAAAGCCCCGGGCUUAACCUGGGAACUGCAAUUGAUACUGCGUGGCUAGAAUUCGGUAGAGGAAGGUGGAACUCCAGGUGUAGCGGUGAAAUGCGUAGAUAUCUGGAAGAACAUCAAUGGCGA